Molecule: transfer RNA, 70 nt
Filed under: Scolichthys greenwayi
Lineage: Eukaryota; Metazoa; Chordata; Actinopteri; Cyprinodontiformes; Poeciliidae
Description: tRNA-Ile
Rfam family: tRNA
About the family: Transfer RNA (tRNA) molecules are approximately 80 nucleotides in length.
Source: RNAcentral
GGACUCGUGCCUGAAACAAAGGGCUACUUUGAUAGAGUAGACAAUGAAGGUUAAAAUCCCUCCGACUCCU